RNAcentral lists this ribosomal RNA (926 nucleotides) under Vibrio cholerae. RNAcentral describes it as "partial 23S ribosomal RNA". It matches the Rfam family "Bacterial large subunit ribosomal RNA", at positions 1243 to 2154 of the family's 2925-position model. Lineage: Bacteria; Pseudomonadati; Pseudomonadota; Gammaproteobacteria; Vibrionales; Vibrionaceae. The record is from RNAcentral.
UAAGCCGUUGAAGGUGAAUCGUAAGGUUUGCUGGAGGUAUCAGAAGUGCGAAUGCUGACAUGAGUAACGACAAAGGGGGUGAAAAACCUCCUCGCCGGAAGACCAAGGGUUCCUGUCCAACGUUAAUCGGGGCAGGGUGAGUCGACCCCUAAGGUGAGGCCGAAAGGCGUAAUCGAUGGGAAACGGGUUAAUAUUCCCGUACUUCUGACUAUUGCGAUGGGGGGACGGAGAAGGCUAGGUGGGCCAGGCGACGGUUGUCCUGGUUCAAGUGCGUAGGCUUGAGAGUUAGGUAAAUCCGGCUCUCUCUAAGGCUGAGACACGACGUCGAGCUGCUACGGCAGUGAAGUCAUUGAUGCCAUGCUUCCAGGAAAAGCCUCUAAGCUUCAGAUAGUCAGGAAUCGUACCCCAAACCGACACAGGUGGUCGGGUAGAGAAUACCAAGGCGCUUGAGAGAACUCGGGUGAAGGAACUAGGCAAAAUGGUACCGUAACUUCGGGAGAAGGUACGCUCUUGAUGGUGAAGUCCCUCGCGGAUGGAGCUGACGAGAGUCGCAGAUACCAGGUGGCUGCAACUGUUUAUUAAAAACACAGCACUGUGCAAAAUCGCAAGAUGACGUAUACGGUGUGACGCCUGCCCGGUGCCGGAAGGUUAAUUGAUGGGGUUAGCGCAAGCGAAGCUCUUGAUCGAAGCCCCGGUAAACGGCGGCCGUAACUAUAACGGUCCUAAGGUAGCGAAAUUCCUUGUCGGGUAAGUUCCGACCUGCACGAAUGGCGUAAUGAUGGCCACGCUGUCUCCACCCGAGACUCAGUGAAAUUGAAAUCGCUGUGAAGAUGCAGUGUACCCGCGGCUAGACGGAAAGACCCCGUGAACCUUUACUACAGCUUGGCACUGAACAUUGAACCUACAUGUGUAGGAUAGGUGGGAGG